This 66-nucleotide transfer RNA is filed under the name Portunus sanguinolentus (three spot swimming crab). RNAcentral describes it as "tRNA-Tyr". It matches the Rfam family "tRNA". Rfam says of the family: Transfer RNA (tRNA) molecules are approximately 80 nucleotides in length. Their secondary structure includes four short double-helical elements and three loops (D, anti-codon, and T loops). Further hydrogen bonds mediate the characteristic L-shaped molecular structure. tRNAs have two regions of fundamental functional importance: the anti-codon, which is responsible for specific mRNA codon recognition, and the 3' end, to which the tRNAs corresponding amino acid is attached (by aminoacyl-tRNA synthetases). tRNAs cope with the degeneracy of the genetic code in two manners: having more than one tRNA (with a specific anti-codon) for a particular amino acid; and 'wobble' base-pairing, i.e. permitting non-standard base-pairing at the 3rd anti-codon position. Lineage: Eukaryota; Metazoa; Arthropoda; Malacostraca; Decapoda; Portunidae. The record is from RNAcentral.
AAUAGGGUGGCCGAGUGAAUAGGCGUUAGAUUGUAAAUCUAAAGACAAGUUAAUACUUCCUUAUUA